AAACAAUGAUUUAAAUUCCAAUUGAAGCAACAAAGAGUUCUAUAAAUAUGACCAAAACAAAGAAGAUAAAAUCACUACACUUUGUGCAUUAGAAAACAUGAGGGCAAAGAGGAACUUUCUCGAAAUAGUGAUAAAAUAUUAGAUAUAUAUGUAUUCAAAUAGUUUUUAAACUAGGGAAAGCCAACACAGUUAAGGGUUCUUAUAUACAAGAAAUAUUCCCCAAGAGCUUGAUUUUCUAUUUCACUAAAAAUUCAAAUAAAUGGUAGCAAUAUAGAAAGUCCUUAUCACCCAUAUGAAAACUGGGGAACAUGUCAUGCCCAAGUUGGACAUUGAAAUAAUACAUUAUAAAAUUCAAAAAUCAAUUUCACUUUUUGCACACAUGUACAAAGAGGAAUGACAACCCCUUUGAUGGAUUCCAAGUAUAGGUCCAAUUGGCUUCUUUUUUCAUUUUUUUUCUUCUUGAUUCCAAGUGCACAUUAGAUAUAUAGGGUCGACUUAAUCUGUACUACCAAUGAGACCUAAAUGACUAAUGGAAGUGAUACUGUCCCUAUCUUGUGCCUCUUGCAAGAGUAAAUUAGCAGCCACAAAAGCCUUAUGUGAUUUUUUUCAAGCCUCGGAUAGCAAAAUUUACAUCAUAUAUCUGCACCACAACCACAUAUAAAUUCAAAUCAAAAGUAAAUACAUAGAAUUGAGAAAAAAAAAUAUAAAUUCAUCCCACAAAAAAAACUAUCAUAAGUCAAUGAGAAAAAGAGUUGAGAUAGAGCAUACAAAAUCCUUUAUAGCGUAUUUAUCCAAGAAAAAAAUAAGAAAAAAAAAUGUGGGAAGGAAUAUGAUGCAGACAAUAUGAUGCAAAAAUUCUUCAGUCAAACUUUUUCAGUUUAAUCCAAAAACAUGGUAUGCUAAAAUAUUUUUUGACAAACAAACACUAUUAAAAGAGCAUAACAAAAAGGGCCCAACCAAAGUAUACAAGUAGUGUAAGACAACCAUUAACCAACCAAGAAAAAAAUGGUAAGACAAAUAAACCUCCAUCCCUUUAACUAGAAGCCAACCAAACAAUAAAGUCUAAUAACGACAAAAAAACUUUAUCAAUAAAUAAUAUGGAUAGUAUAUAGGUGAAUUGUGGUACCUUCAAAUUUAUGAGUGAUAAAAAACACACCAUGGAAUCCUUGAGUUGGUGUAGCACUAUUAAAUUGUUUGGAAUGAACAACCUCCAAAAUAUUGGCAAAAGAUAUCAUUUUUUCUCUUUCCUUUUCAAAGAGAAACAACUUUGUAUUUCAUUUCCAAGCAACUUAAAGGUUGAACCACAUAAAAAAAAGAUAGUACAUAAAUUCACAAAGGUAGUACUUGAGAUUCAUAAAAGUAGUACCUAAAGUCCACUAAGGAAGUAAUUAAGGCUCAUUAAGGUAGUACCCAAGGCUCACUAAGGUAGUACCCAAGGCUCACAAAAGUAGCACCUAAGGCUCACUAAUGUAAUACCCAACCCAAGGUUCACUAAGGUAGUACCUAAGGUUGAAACAUCUAAUACUUGAGGUUGGAAAGGGAAAAACCAAUAGAAAACAAAUGUCAUGCUCAAAUCUGCCUUAGGUAUUACCAUAGUGAACCUUGGGUACUACCUUAGUGAACAUUGGGUCCUACCUUAGUGAACCUUGGGUCCUACCUUAGUGAACCUUGGGUGCUACCUUAGUGAACCUUGGAUGCUACCUUAGUGAACCUUAGGCUCACAAAUGAAGUAACUAAGUCUCACAAAUGUUCACAAAUGAAGUUUUGAAGCUUCACACAAGUAGUACCCAAGUUUAACUAUGGUAAUACCUAAGGUUGAUCAAGGUAGUACCUAAGGUUGAUUACCUAAGGUUCACUAUGGCAGUACCCAAGGUUCACUAUGAUAGUAGCUACGGCUUUGCUUACAAAGGCAAUGAGUCUUCUUUGUUACAUUUGUAUUUCACCUAAUCCAAUAACAAAGACAUCACAUAUCACCACAAAAAUCUUAUCAAAAUUGUGCAUUGCAAAAACUAGUGUUGUUUUCUUAGUGUGUUUGAGCAAGUGAAAGGUUUGUUUUGCUUCAAGAGUCUAGUUAAAAUUAUCUCACUUAAGCAUUAUAGUUUGUAGCUAACUUAUCUUUCCAUAAUCCUAAACAAAUUGCUAAUAAUGACAUUAUUAUAUUGUAAUUGGUUAGUCGAUAGAACCUUUAGGUAAUACCUUAAUGGUGUGAAGGUACUACCUUAAUGUACCUAAGGUACUACCUUAGUGAACCUUAAGUACUACCCUAAUGCACCUGAGGUACUACCUUUGUAAACCUUAGGUAUUACCUUAAUGGAGCUUAGGUAGUUCAUUCGUGAACCUUAGGUAGUUAGUUUAUCAAUCCUAGGUAGCACCUUGCUCAACCAUAGCAUAAUUUGUUUAUGAAAGCAUGGAUUAGGUAGCAUUAGUAGGAUUUAGGAAUACGUAACUUUGACAAACUUAUUUCUGUUUUUAUUUUAAUUAAGUGUAUAUAAUAUUCAUGUAAAGGCCUGUAGUUCCAUCUAAACAGUUAGAAUGCCUAGGAAAUCAUACUAAGAAUAGAGUGAAAAAAAAAGGAAUGUACCCAAUUCUACUCCCAUAAAAUACUUUGAGAAAAUAAAAAAAUUAAUUCUGGCUCCUAAGAUGUUAAGGAAAAUUAGAGUUCUUGAUAAAUUUCUUGACAACAUUUUGAAAUAUUGGUUUUAAAUGUUCUGAUAGUACAGUUUAAAAGAGACUUUGUACAAAAAAAAAUUUUCCAGGACCAAUAGGGAUUGAUUUUUUAAAGGUAAAUGACUUAAAUUCCUUUGUUAGAUGCAACAUGAAUUGUUCUUGGAAUGCAAGAAUAACCAAUAAAAGAAAAGAGGCACAUUCCUAAUUUGCCCAAGUUCUGAAAAACAAUUUCUCCUAUCAUCUUAUGCUAUCUAACUGAAUUCAACUCAAUAAAGCCCUUAUCUCAAAUGUUCCUAGAUGGCAAGGAUAGUUAGACAUGAGCAAAACAACAAAGAAGGAUACAAGAGAGUGUAGAUAUUUUAAUACACAUCAAUAAUAUUAAGUUGUAUCUAGAAACAUAAAUCAACAAUAAAGAUGAAGAUUUGUUUAAUCAAGCAUCUGAAGUCUUUGAUAUGCAAUAAGAGAGUUCAAUUGGCAUCAUAUUUCUUUUUUCAAAAUACAAGUGCCCUCAUCAUAUGUCCGUUUCAACAUAAGAAACAAGAACUAUCCCAUCAACUUCUACUAACAAUAUUGUUAAUUACCCUAUCAGAACACUAAGAAUGGGUCAAAGCCUUAUUGGAGAAAGGAGGCUACAUAAGAAUGUUAAUUUCCAGAUCAUACACAAGUGGUGUACUAGACACAAGUCACAGAGCAGGAUAAAUACUUUCCAUAAUAUGUCUUGCAAGCUCAUAUUGAACCUCAUUUCUGAAACUAGAGAGAACCAUGGUCCUAAAUGUAAAACACAUCAAGACACAAUUCAAUUAAAUUGAAUUAGGUUGUUCUUGUCAUUGAAACUCUGCAUGGUUUAACACACAAAAAUACUCAUAAAGAGUGCAAACCUCAUUACCUCAUAUCGAAGCAACAUAACAAAAAGACACAUUGUUCCAACACAUUUGAAACCAAAUUUCAAAUUGUUGAUAUGUUGUUUUCAUUAAUACUAAAACAUGAUGUAAUAACUUGACCAAUAGUCAUUUGGGUAUCAAAUUACGAACACUAGGGUUCCUUAUACGAUUAUCAACUCUCAGUUUGCAGAACUCAAUGAGCAUUGUUUUGUAGAAGCUUUAAAUUUGAGCAUAAAUCGCAAAAUAAAGUAGGGUUUUGGCCAAGAAAAAACCUAAUUAGUGUGAAGAGGAGGAGAAAUUGAAUAGGUUGUGGGUUUGAGUUGUAGAGAAGCCCAUAGACUGAGGAGCAGAGAAAAAAGCGACGUCGAUCUACCCAUGAUUCAUCUUCAUCGUGAUCUAAAAUUCCUUUCCCUUAUUCCACUCCUUGGUUGCAGGCCUCCUCGUCAUAGGAAACAAAAGGGAGUCCUCGUCAUAGGAAACAAAAGGGAGAUGAAGCAUGCUAGUUGUAGAUGUGAGAGGUAGCAGGAAAGAAAGAGACGAAAAUAGGAAGAAAGUGAGACUUGGGGAGGUUAGGGUUUUUCCGAAUUUAGGUUUUGAAAAGGAAAAGUGCAAAUAGAGAAUUUUUUAUUUGGAUUUC
This 4185-nucleotide long non-coding RNA is filed under the name Vitis vinifera (wine grape). RNAcentral describes it as "long non-coding RNA (VVIN_LNC000995)". The record is from RNAcentral. Lineage: Eukaryota; Viridiplantae; Streptophyta; Magnoliopsida; Vitales; Vitaceae.